GACGAACGCUGGCGGCGUGCUUAACACAUGCAAGUCGAGCGGUAAGGCCCUUCGGGGUACACGAGCGGCGAACGGGUGAGUAACACGUGGGUGAUCUGCCCUGCACUUCGGGAUAAGCCUGGGAAACUGGGUCUAAUACCGGAUAUGAGCCUCCACUGCAUGGUGGGGGUUGGAAAGGUUUACAGGUGCAGGAUGGGCCCGCGGCCUAUCAGCUUGUUGGUGGGGAAAUGGCCUACCAAGGCGACGACGGGUAGCCGGCCUGAGAGGGCGACCGGCCACACUGGGACUGAGACACGGCCCAGACUCCUACGGGAGGCAGCAGUGGGGAAUAUUGCACAAUGGGCGAAAGCCUGAUGCAGCGACGCCGCGUGAGGGAUGACGGCCUUCGGGUUGUAAACCUCUUUCAGCAGGGACGAAGCGAGAGUGACGGUACCUGCAGAAGAAGCACCGGCCAACUACGUGCCAGCAGCCGCCGUAAUAC
RNAcentral lists this ribosomal RNA (481 nucleotides) under uncultured bacterium. Its description in RNAcentral is "bacterial SSU rRNA". It matches the Rfam family "Bacterial small subunit ribosomal RNA", at positions 28 to 526 of the family's 1533-position model. The record is from RNAcentral.